AGAGUUUGAUCAUGGCUCAGAUUGAACGCUGGCGGCAUGCCUUACACAUGCAAGUCGAACGGUAACGGGCCUUCGGGUGCCGACGAGUGGCGAACGGGUGAGUAAUGCAUCGGAACGUACCUUUCAGUGGGGGAUAACGUAGCGAAAGUUACGCUAAUACCGCAUAUUCUGUGAGCAGGAAAGCAGGGGAUCGCAAGACCUUGCGCUGAUUGAGCGGCCGAUGUCAGAUUAGCUAGUUGGUGAGGUAAAGGCUCACCAAGGCGACGAUCUGUAGCGGGUCUGAGAGGAUGAUCCGCCACACUGGAACUGAGACACGGUCCAGACUCCUACGGGAGGCGGCAGUGGGGAAUUUUGGACAAUGGGGGCAACCCUGAUCCAGCCAUGCCGCGUGAGUGAAGAAGGCCUUCGGGUUGUAAAGCUCUUUCGGCCGGGAAGAAAUCGCAUGGGUGAAUACCCUGUGUGGAUGACGGUACCGGAACAAGAAGCACCGGCUAACUACGUG
RNAcentral lists this ribosomal RNA (502 nucleotides) under uncultured bacterium. Its description in RNAcentral is "bacterial SSU rRNA". It matches the Rfam family "Bacterial small subunit ribosomal RNA", at positions 8 to 507 of the family's 1533-position model. The record is from RNAcentral.